AUGGAAAAAUGGAAUGCAUUACUGCCCAGCCCUUUGCCAAUGGUGCUCAAUGAGAUCCUCCUGAAGCUGAAAGUGAGUGUUUGCAUUUUCAAUCUCCUUGUAGGUCUGAAGAAAAGCUCUAAUGCGGUUAGGGUCUCUAGCCGGAAUGUCGUAUACAAUUACCCGCAUAGCUGCCGAGAUUUUUUGAUAUGCAGUAAAUCCCUUCAAGCCCGCGGCAUUUAUUCUUUGAGUAAAAUACCGACAAUUGGCCUCGCAAGCUUGAACAAUUUUUCACAAAGAGGGAUCGGCGCAUUCAGUACCUUCUCUGGAAGAGGUGUGGCGAAUAUGUUGUGUUAG
RNAcentral lists this ribosomal RNA (336 nucleotides) under Triticum aestivum (bread wheat). Its description in RNAcentral is "partial small subunit ribosomal RNA". Lineage: Eukaryota; Viridiplantae; Streptophyta; Magnoliopsida; Poales; Poaceae. The record is from RNAcentral.